AGCGAACGCUGGCGGCAGGCCUAACACAUGCAAGUCGAACGAACUCUUCGGAGUUAGUGGCGGACGGGUGAGUAACACGUGGGAACGUGCCUGUUGGUUCGGAAUAACUCAGGGAAACUUGUGCUAAUACCGAAUGUGCCCUUCGGGGGAAAGAUUUAUCGCCAUUAGAGCGGCCCGCGUCUGAUUAGCUAGUUGGUGAGGUAACGGCUCACCAAGGCGACGAUCAGUAGCUGGUCUGAGAGGAUGCCCAGCCACACUGGGACUGAGACACGGCCCAGACUGCUACGGGAGGCAGCAGUGGGGAAUAUUGCGCAAUGGGCGAAAGCCUGACGCAGCCAUGCCGCGUGAAUGAUGAAGGUCUUAGGAUUGUAAAAUUCUUUCACCGGGGACGAUAAUGACGGUACCCGGAGAAGAAGCCCCGGCUAACUUCGUG
RNAcentral lists this ribosomal RNA (433 nucleotides) under uncultured bacterium. RNAcentral's name for it is "partial 16S ribosomal RNA". It matches the Rfam family "Bacterial small subunit ribosomal RNA", at positions 29 to 507 of the family's 1533-position model. The record is from RNAcentral.